GCAUCGGUGGCUUAGUGGUAGAAUGCUCGCCUACCACGCGGGCGGCCCGGGUUCGAUUCCCGGCCGAUGCA
Molecule: transfer RNA, 71 nt
Filed under: Cordylochernes scorpioides
Lineage: Eukaryota; Metazoa; Arthropoda; Arachnida; Pseudoscorpiones; Chernetidae
Description: tRNA-Gly
Rfam family: tRNA
About the family: Transfer RNA (tRNA) molecules are approximately 80 nucleotides in length. Their secondary structure includes four short double-helical elements and three loops (D, anti-codon, and T loops). Further hydrogen bonds mediate the characteristic L-shaped molecular structure. tRNAs have two regions of fundamental functional importance: the anti-codon, which is responsible for specific mRNA codon recognition, and the 3' end, to which the tRNAs corresponding amino acid is attached (by aminoacyl-tRNA synthetases). tRNAs cope with the degeneracy of the genetic code in two manners: having more than one tRNA (with a specific anti-codon) for a particular amino acid; and 'wobble' base-pairing, i.e. permitting non-standard base-pairing at the 3rd anti-codon position.
Source: RNAcentral